This 306-nucleotide unclassified non-coding RNA is filed under the name plant metagenome. RNAcentral's name for it is "partial contains 5.8S ribosomal RNA, internal transcribed spacer 2, and large subunit ribosomal RNA". The stretch from base 1 to 105 matches the Rfam family "5.8S ribosomal RNA", at positions 50 to 154 of the family's 154-position model. The record is from RNAcentral.
GAAAUGCGAUAAGUAGUGUGAAUUGCAGAAUUCAGUGAAUCAUCGAAUCUUUGAACGCACAUUGCGCCCGCCAGCACUCUGGCGGGCAUGCCUGUUCGAGCGUCAUUUCAACCCUCAGAACCCCUUGCGGGAUCUGGCGUUGGGGAUUGGCAUCCAGCCAGCCCCGAAAUCUAGUGGCGGUCCCUCCGCGACCUCCCCUGUGCAGUAGCGAUACCUCGCAGCGGGACAGCGGUCUGACCACGCCGUAAAACCCCCAACUUCUCAAGGUUGACCUCGAAUCAGGUAGGAAUACCCGCUGAACUUAAG